This 1175-nucleotide long non-coding RNA is filed under the name Anolis carolinensis (green anole). RNAcentral's name for it is "lncRNA (ENSACAG00000042066.1)". Lineage: Eukaryota; Metazoa; Chordata; Lepidosauria; Squamata; Anolidae. The record is from RNAcentral.
GGAGGAGGAGAAGGAGGGGACAUAUACACAUUUUCUGCACAUUAAUAGAUUAUGGCGAUCUUGGAACCAGAACCAAGAGGUCCUACAACAGCGGGAUCCUGUUUUGAGGGUUCUGUUUGCAAAAGAAAGCACACUAGUGAUAUUUAUUAAAUAUUUACUAGGAAAUAAACAUAACUAGCUACAAAAGAGCUUGCAUUUGAACAAGCAUGCUCAAAAAUGAGUGGCAGCCCAUUUUUAUUUAUUUUAAACAGAAAUGCACAGAAGUAUACAAAUAUGAAUAACUUUCAGCAUGUCAUGAAUGCAGAUGCUAUCUAAAGAAUACCUCCCAGAAAUAUAUCAUAUUGAGGCUACUGGGUGAUAGCCCUGAUCUAAGAGUCUCGGGAGAAUAGCUAGGUAAUAAUAUUUUUUAGAUUCAGAAUUGAUAGUAAAUUCUUCCUUGGCUUUAUAGGGGAAAGCUAGUGAGUUCUAAUAAUUAUCUGCAGUCGAAUAGACACCACAGUAAAUCUUCCAGCUAUUUCAAAGACGUUAUCAAGAUUACAGCCCUGGCAUUGGACCUUUAAUGCUCUAGAAAGACAGCUGCGCGAAGACUUGAUGUUGACAUACAGAAACACCUGUCAUGUUGUCCUUUAUUAUAUAAAUAUGUAUGUAUAUUAUGCCAAGUUGGGGUUAAAAUGCAUAAGGUUUUUCACAAGUAUGUGAUUUGAAUGUUGAAUAUUUUACAACUGAACAAUCAGGGAUGAUACAUUCUUAUGUGAAGAGCAAAUCCUAUUAAUCCUAUUCAUAAGCAAUUUAUUAAGCUCAGAGAGAAUCACAACACUGGAAGCUUAGUGAGUGCCUUGUUUUAACACCUAGAAGAGACACAGUUAUCAAACUGUUCUUAUAAGUAUCAUGCUGAAACUUAAUAAACUGGGCCAAACAAUUCUAGGAUCGAACUGUGUUCUUAAUAUAUCAGCAGGAAAACCCCCUUCUACAUACUAGUCUUGGUUAUAAAAAUGACCUUUGGGUUUUUUUUUUGUAGUAGAUAUAAAUAACAUCUCUAAAUACAAACAGACACGUGAUAGCUGAAUGGUAGAGCACAUGUUUUCCAUGCAAAAAAUCCCAGAUUCAAUCCUUGCAAUCCAGAUAUGACCCUCUGCCAAAUUCUGGAGUGGCACCUCUAUGCAGUGUAUGGUAUA